GACGAACGCUGGCGGCGUGCUUAACACAUGCAAGUCGAACGGUGAAGCGCCUUCCUUUUUGGUGGGUGUGGAUGAGUGGCGAACGGGUGAGUAACACGUGAGUAACCUGCCCCCUUCUUCUGGAUAACCGCAUGAAAGUGUGGCUAAUACGGGAUAUUCUGGGUCUGUCGCAUGAUGGGUCUGGGAAAGAUAUUGUUUCGGUGGGGGAUGGGCUCGCGGCCUAUCAGCUUGUUGGUGGGGUGAUGGCCUACCAAGGCGGUGGCGGGUAGCCGGCCUGAGAGGGUGGACGGUCACACUGGGACUGAGACACGGCCCAGACUCCUACGGGAGGCAGCAGUGGGGAAUAUUGCACAGUGGGCGCAAGCCUGAUGCAGCGGCGCCGCGGGAGGGAUGGAGGCCUUCGGGUUGUGAACCUCUUUCGCCAGUGAAGCAGGCCUGCCUCGUUUGUGGGUGGGUUGACGGUAGCUGGAUAAGAAGCGCCGGCUAACUACGUG
This 494-nucleotide ribosomal RNA is filed under the name uncultured bacterium. Its description in RNAcentral is "partial 16S ribosomal RNA". It matches the Rfam family "Bacterial small subunit ribosomal RNA", at positions 28 to 507 of the family's 1533-position model. The record is from RNAcentral.